GCGGCGUGCCUAAUACAUGCAAGUCGAGCGAACAUAUGAGAAGCUUGCUUCUCUGAUGUUAGCGGCGGACGGGUGAGUAACACGUGGGUAACCUACCUAUAAGACUGGGAUAACUCCGGGAAACCGGGGCUAAUACCGGAUAAUAUAUUGAACCGCAUGGUUCAAUGUUGAAAGACGGUUUCGGCUGUCACUUAUAGAUGGACCCGCGCCGUAUUAGCUAGUUGGUAAGGUAACGGCUUACCAAGGCAACGAUACGUAGCCGACCUGAGAGGGUGAUCGGCCACACUGGAACUGAGACACGGUCCAAACUCCUACGGGAGGCUGCAGUGGGGAAUCUUCCGCAAUGGACGAAAGUCUGACGGAGCAACGCCGCGUGAGUGAUGACGGCCUUCGGGUUGUAAACCUCUUUUGUUAGGGAGCAAGGCCUUCUUGCGAAUAGUGAGAAGGAUUGACGGUACCGGAAUAGAAAGCCACGGCUAACUACGUGCCAGCAGCCGCGGUAAUACGUAGGGUGCAAGCGUUAUCCGGAAUUAUUGGGCGUAAAGGGCUCGUAGGCGGUUUUUUAAGUCUGAUGUGAAAGCCCCCGGCUCAACCGGGGAGGGUCAUUGGAAACUGGGAGACUUGAGUGCAGAAGAGGAGAGUGGAAUUCCAUGUGUAGCGGUGAAAUGCGUAGAUAUAUGGAGGAACACCAGUGGCGAAGGCGGCUCUCUGGUCUGUAACUGACGCUGAGGCUCGAAAGCGUGGGGAGCGAACAGGAUUAGAUACCCUGGUAGUCCACGCCGUAAACGAUGAGUGCUAAGUGUUGGAGGGUUUCCGCCCUUCAGUGCUGCAGCAAACGCAUUAAGCACUCCGCCUGGGGAGUACGACCGCAAGGUUGAAACUCAAAGGAAUUGACGGGGGCCCGCACAAGCGGUGGAGUAUGUGGUUUAAUUCGAAGCAACGCGAAGAACCUUACCAGGUCUUGACAUCUUUUGAUCACCUGAGAGAUCAGGUUUCCCCUUCGGGGGCAAAAUGACAGGUGGUGCAUGGUUGUCGUCAGCUCGUGUUGGGAGAUGUUGGGUUAAGUCCCGCAACGAGCGCAACCCUUAUUGUUAGUUGCCAUCACUUAGUUGGGCACUCUAGCGAGACUGCCGGUGACAAACCGGAGGAAGGUGGGGAUGACGUCAAAUCAUCAUGCCCCUUAUGACCUGGGCUACACACGUGCUACAAUGGGAAGUACAACGAGUUGCGAAGUCGCGAGGCUAAGCUAAUCUCUUAAAGCUUCUCUCAGUUCGGAUUGUAGGCUGCAACUCGCCUACAUGAAGCCGGAAUCGCUAGUAAUCGCGGAUCAGCACGCCGCGGUGAAUACGUUCCCGGGCCUUGUACACACCGCCCGUCACACCACGAGAGUUUGUAACACCCGAAGUCGGUGAGGUAACCUUUUUGGAGCCAGCCGCCUAAGGUGGGAUAGAUGAUUGGGGUGA
Molecule: ribosomal RNA, 1463 nt
Filed under: human gut metagenome
Description: bacterial SSU rRNA
Rfam family: Bacterial small subunit ribosomal RNA
Source: RNAcentral